UCCAUGUUCCUGAUGAUUCUGAAUUCCC
RNAcentral lists this non-coding RNA (28 nucleotides) under Rattus norvegicus (Norway rat). Lineage: Eukaryota; Metazoa; Chordata; Mammalia; Rodentia; Muridae. The record is from RNAcentral.